Molecule: ribosomal RNA, 497 nt
Filed under: uncultured bacterium
Lineage: Bacteria
Description: partial 16S ribosomal RNA
Rfam family: Bacterial small subunit ribosomal RNA
Source: RNAcentral
GAUGAACGCUGGCGGCGUGCCUAAUACAUGCAAGUCGAGCGAACAGACGAGGAGCUUGCUCCUCUGACGUUAGCGGCGGACGGGUGAGUAACACGUGGAUAACCUACCUAUAAGACUGGGAUAACUUCGGGAAACCGGAGCUAAUACCGGAUAAUAUAUUGAACCGCAUGGUUCAAUAGUGAAAGACGGUUUUGCUGUCACUUAUAGAUGGAUCCGCGCCGCAUUAGCUAGUUGGUAAGGUAACGGCUUACCAAGGCAACGAUGCGUAGCCGACCUGAGAGGGUGAUCGGCCACACUGGAACUGAGACACGGUCCAGACUCCUACGGGAGGCAGCAGUAGGGAAUUUUCCGCAAUGGGCGAAAGCCUGACGGAGCAAAGCCGCGUGAGUGAUGAAGGUCUUAGGAUCGUAAAACUCUGUUAUUAGGGAAGAACAAAUGUGUAAGUAACUAUGCACGUCUUGACGGUACCUAAUCAGAAAGCCACGGCUAACUACGUG